UGACGUCAAAUCAUCAUGCCCCUUAUGACCGUGGGCUACAAACGUGAUACAAUGGCUGAAACAAAGGGCAGCGAAGCAGUGAUGUGGAGCGAAACCCAAAAAGACAGUCUCAGUUCGGAUUGAAGUCUGCAACUCGACUUCAUGAAGUCGGAAUCGCUAGUAAUCGCGGAUCAGAACGCCGCGGUGAAUACGUUCGUCGGGUUU
This 204-nucleotide ribosomal RNA is filed under the name uncultured Acholeplasma sp. Its description in RNAcentral is "partial 16S ribosomal RNA". It matches the Rfam family "Bacterial small subunit ribosomal RNA", at positions 1180 to 1373 of the family's 1533-position model. The record is from RNAcentral. Lineage: Bacteria; Bacillati; Mycoplasmatota; Mollicutes; Acholeplasmatales; Acholeplasmataceae.